Molecule: ribosomal RNA, 467 nt
Filed under: uncultured bacterium
Lineage: Bacteria
Description: partial 16S ribosomal RNA
Rfam family: Bacterial small subunit ribosomal RNA
Source: RNAcentral
ACGAACGCUGGCGGCGUGCUUCACACAUGCAAGUCGAACGGAAAGGCCCUGCUUUUGUGGGGUGCUCGAGUGGCGAACGGGUGAGUAACACGUGAGUAACCUGCCCUUGACUUUGGGAUAACUUCAGGAAACUGGGGCUAAUACCGGAUAGGAGCUCCUGCUGCAUGGUGGGGGUUGGAAAGUUUCGGCGGUUGGGGAUGGACUCGCGGCUUAUCAGCUUGUUGGUGGGGUAGUGGCUUACCAAGGCUUUGACGGGUAGCCGGCCUGAGAGGGUGACCGGCCACAUUGGGACUGAGAUACGGCCCAGACUCCUACGGGAGGCAGCAGUGGGGAAUAUUACACAAUGGGCGGAAGCCUGAUGCAGCAACGCCGCGUGCGGGAUGACGGCCUUCGGGUUGUAAACCGCUUUCGCCUGUGACGAAGCGUGAGUGACGGUAAUGGGUAAAGAAGCACCGGCUAACUACGUG